AGUGAACGCUGGCGGUAUGCCUAACACAUGCAAGUCGAACGGCAACACGUUAAGCUCUCGCUUUUACGGGUGGCGAGUGGCGUAUGGGUAAGGAAUACAUCGGGAUCUACUUUUUCUUGGGGGAUAACGUAAGACCGCAUACGAUAAUACCGCAUACGCGCUACGGCUGAAAGCAGGGGAUCUUCGGAGCUUGCGCGAUUGGAUUAGCUGAUUUCGGAUUAGCUAGUUGGCGGGGUAAAGGCCCACCAAGGCGACGAUCCGUAGCUGGUCUGAGAGGAUGAUCAGCCACACUGGAACUGAGACACGGUCCAGACUCCUACGGGAGGCAGCAGUGGGGAAUAUUGGACAAUGGGCGCAAGCCUGAUCCAGCCAUGCCGCGUGGGUGAAGAAGGCCUUCGGGUUGUAAAGCCCUUUUGUUAGGGAAGAAAAGCUGCAGGUUAAUACCCGGCUGUCCUGACGGUACCUAAAGAAUAAGCACCGGCUAACUUCGUG
Molecule: ribosomal RNA, 492 nt
Filed under: uncultured bacterium
Lineage: Bacteria
Description: partial 16S ribosomal RNA
Rfam family: Bacterial small subunit ribosomal RNA
Source: RNAcentral